This 252-nucleotide ribosomal RNA is filed under the name Romboutsia timonensis. Its description in RNAcentral is "partial 16S ribosomal RNA". It matches the Rfam family "Bacterial small subunit ribosomal RNA", at positions 524 to 776 of the family's 1533-position model. The record is from RNAcentral. Lineage: Bacteria; Bacillati; Bacillota; Clostridia; Peptostreptococcales; Peptostreptococcaceae.
UACGUAGGGGGCUAGCGUUAUCCGGAAUUACUGGGCGUAAAGGGUGCGUAGGUGGUUUUUUAAGUCAGAGGUGAAAGGCUACGGCUCAACCGUAGUAAGCCUUUGAAACUGGGAAACUUGAGUGCAGGAGAGGAGAGUGGAAUUCCUAGUGUAGCGGUGAAAUGCGUAGAUAUUAGGAGGAACACCAGUUGCGAAGGCGGCUCUCUGGACUGUAACUGACACUGAGGCACGAAAGCGUGGGGAGCAAACAGG